Molecule: unclassified non-coding RNA, 274 nt
Organism: Ictidomys tridecemlineatus (thirteen-lined ground squirrel)
Lineage: Eukaryota; Metazoa; Chordata; Mammalia; Rodentia; Sciuridae
Gene: 7SK
Rfam family: 7SK RNA
About the family: 7SK was discovered as an abundant small nuclear RNA in the mid-70s but a possible function has only recently been suggested. Two independent studies have found that 7SK RNA binds the CDK9/cyclin T complex (known as elongation factor P-TEFb).
Source: Ensembl
GGAUGCAAGGGCAAUUCAGCCUGCAAACCUGCCACCCAUUGAUUUCCAGAGUCCACUUGGCCCAUCUGCUGACCAGGCAGGUGUCUCCUUCCUCUCUCAGGGUCCAUGUGCAUACUUUCCCAAGUUGUGAGUUCUGUGAAAGAGGAGGACAUUCCUCACAGGAGGACCGUUCUCCAGUGAAGGAUAUAUGAGCAGCUGUGCACCUGCCCUGCCACUACAGAUGUCAAUCAACUAUCAGGUUUCAUAAAAUGGGGGUAAUAAUAAUCACCUUACU